UGAAUAUAGUUUAUUAAAAUCCUAGUCUGUGGAUCUAGGGAUGAGGAUUAAUUAUCCUCUGUUCACCG
Molecule: transfer RNA, 68 nt
Rfam family: tRNA
About the family: Transfer RNA (tRNA) molecules are approximately 80 nucleotides in length. Their secondary structure includes four short double-helical elements and three loops (D, anti-codon, and T loops). Further hydrogen bonds mediate the characteristic L-shaped molecular structure. tRNAs have two regions of fundamental functional importance: the anti-codon, which is responsible for specific mRNA codon recognition, and the 3' end, to which the tRNAs corresponding amino acid is attached (by aminoacyl-tRNA synthetases). tRNAs cope with the degeneracy of the genetic code in two manners: having more than one tRNA (with a specific anti-codon) for a particular amino acid; and 'wobble' base-pairing, i.e. permitting non-standard base-pairing at the 3rd anti-codon position.